RNAcentral lists this ribosomal RNA (375 nucleotides) under Sphyraena ensis (Mexican barracuda). RNAcentral describes it as "partial 12S ribosomal RNA". It matches the Rfam family "Bacterial small subunit ribosomal RNA", at positions 962 to 1533 of the family's 1533-position model. Lineage: Eukaryota; Metazoa; Chordata; Actinopteri; Sphyraenidae. The record is from RNAcentral.
CGUUCAACCUCACCCUUCCUUGCUUUUCCCGCCUAUAUACCGCCGUCGUCAGCUUACCCUAUGAAGGCUCAAUAGUAAGCGCAAUCGGCACAGCCCAGUACGUCAGGUCGAGGUGUAGUACAUGAGAGGGGAAGAGAUGGGCUACAUUCGCUAACAAUAGCGAACACGAACGCUGCAUUGAAACAUGUAGCUGAAGGAGGAUUUAGUAGUAAGCUGGGAAUAGAGUGCCCAACUGAAAUCGGCCCUAAAGCGCGCACAUACCGCCCGUCACCCUCUCUAAGACUACAAGAAUGCCCAUUAUCUAAAACCUUUCAACUGCAAAAGAGAGGAAAGUCGUAACAUGGUAAGCGUACCGGAAGGUGUGCUUGGCAAAAU